This is a non-coding RNA of Caerostris darwini, 72 nucleotides long. The record is from the annotation of a GenBank genome assembly. Lineage: Eukaryota; Metazoa; Arthropoda; Arachnida; Araneae; Araneidae.
CACCGAAGUCAAGCAUUAUUGGGCGCGGUCAGUACUUGGGUGGGUGACCACCUGGGAACACUGCGUGCCGUU